RNA transcript from Homo sapiens (human), 2403 nucleotides. It is a transcript of the gene named SPC24 component of NDC80 kinetochore complex, with no coding region annotated. The record is from RefSeq and is marked validated. Lineage: Eukaryota; Metazoa; Chordata; Mammalia; Primates; Hominidae. The transcript is spliced from 5 exons.
GUAGUCAUGGCCGCCUUCCGCGACAUAGAGGAGGUGAGCCAGGGGCUGCUCAGCCUGCUGGGCGCCAACCGCGCGGAGGCGCAGCAGCGACGGCUGCUGGGGCGCCACGAGCAGGUGGUGGAGCGGCUGCUGGAAACGCAAGACGGUGCCGAGAAGCAGCUGCGAGGGCUGCAGACAAGGGGCAUGUUUCUUGCCAGUGGAGGCAAGUGGAACCACCUUCUCUCUGCUCUCCUUGGGGAAGGACAGACCCUAGGGAGCCUGCUUCUCUCCACCCUGCAGAGAUCCUCACCAUGGAGAAGGAAGUGGCCCAGAGCCUUCUCAAUGCGAAGGAGCAGGUGCACCAGGGAGGCGUGGAGCUGCAGCAGCUGGAAGCUGGGCUUCAGGAGGCUGGGGAGGAGGACACCCGUCUGAAGGCCAGCCUCCUUCAGCUCACCAGAGAGCUGGAAGAGCUCAAGGAGAUUGAGGCGGAUCUGGAGCGACAGGAGAAGGAGGUCGACGAGGACACGACAGUCACAAUCCCCUCGGCCGUGUACGUGGCUCAACUUUACCACCAAGUUAGUAAAAUUGAGUGGGAUUAUGAGUGUGAGCCAGGGAUGGUCAAAGGCAUCCAUCAUGGCCCCAGUGUGGCCCAGCCCAUCCACCUGGACAGCACCCAGCUCUCCAGGAAAUUCAUCAGCGACUACCUCUGGAGUCUGGUGGACACCGAGUGGUAGCCAGGAGCCUCGUGGCUGCGUCUUGCACCCAGCGGGCAUCUGCCGUGGUCAGAUCCAUUUCAAAUGAAAUGUGGGGACAUAGAUCUUUUUUUUUUUUUUUUUGAGACAGAGUUUCACUCUUGUUGUCCAGUCUGGAGUGCAAUGGCACAAUCUCAGCUCACAGCAACCUCUGCCUCCUGGGUUCAAGCGAUUCUCCUGCCUCAGCCUCCAAAGUAGCUGGGAUUACAGGCAUGCGCCACCACACCCAGCUAAUUUUUUGUAUUUGGUAGAGAUGGAGUUUCACCAUGGUGGUCAGGCUGGUCUUGAACUCCUGACCUCAGGUGAUCCACCCGCCCGCCUUGGCCUCCCAAAGUGCUAGGAUUCCAGGCGUGAGCCAUCGUGCCCAGCUAGACGUCUUCCUUUUUUUUUUUUUUUUGAGACGGAGUCUCACUCUGUCGCCCAGGCUGGAGUGCAGUGGUGCGAUCUCAGCUCACUGCAAGCUCCGCCUCCUCCCGGGUUCACGCCAUUCUCCUGCCUCAGCCUCCUGAGUAGCUGGGACUACAGGCACCUGCCACCAUGCGCAGCUAAUUUUUUGUAUUUUUAGUAGAGACGGGGUUUCACCAUGUUAGACAGGAUGGUCUCCAUCUCCUGAGUUUGUGAUCUGCCCGCCUUGGCCUCCCAAAGUGCUGGGAUUACAGGUGUGAGUCACCGCGCCUGGCCUUUUUUUUUUUUUUUUUUACUGGAUUUCUUUUUCUCCUGAUUUUCGGCCUCAGCUCCUAGAGUGGCCUCAGCUAGGUAACCAACGGGAGUCGACUUAUCUAUGCCAGGCCUGCAGUUUCACAUCUGUGACGGGAUGGGACAAAUGACACCGUGGUAUUCGAUGACAGCUCCCAGGUACUUCAAGGUUGGCCCUUACUCAUUCAGGGGGUAUGUUUGAGUGCCACGGUGUGCCCAGACUCUGCUAGGCACCAGAGAGACAAGAUACGAGUGACAUGGUUCUCCUCCCACUGCUGACGGAGGAAUUAACACAAAAGCAGACAACACUCUAGAACUGGAGAGAGGUCCAGAUUGCGACAGGAGCCACACCAGAGUGUGCAGGCUUCAUGGAGGACAGAAGCGACUUUUGUGCCGGGACUUAAAAAGAUAAGGAGGCCAGGUGUGGUGGCUCAUGCCUGCAAUCCCAGCACUGUAGAAGGCAGAGGCCGGCAGAUCACUUGAGCCCAGGAGUUGGAGACCAGACUGGGGAACAUGGCAAGACCCCAUCUCUACAAAAAAAUUAAAAAAUUUGGCCUGGUGUGGUGGCUCAUGCCUGUGAUCCUAGCACUUUGGGAGUUAAAAUACAACACUUCCCAGCUGCCCUUAUAGUUAAGGUCUGGCCAGUGAAAUGUAUGUGGAAAUGUUACAUGACACUUCUAGAAGGAUUCUUAAAAGACAAAUACACCCUUUCUUCCCCCUUCCUAUUUCCUGGAAUGUGGGUGUGAUGGCUGGAGCCCUGGCAGCCAUACUGCCACGUGUACAGACGAGUGCCGUCCUUUAGGGAUGACAGGAGCCUGGUUCCCUGAUGAUGGCAGAGCCAGAUAUCAGCACAAACUUAUUUAAAUGGGAGAGAGAAGGGGAGAACCAAUCUCAACUUCUACCUUGUGUAAGCUGCUGGUUUUGGGGGUUUUCUAUGACAGAUACCAAAAUAAACCCUAACUGAACAUGUACUCCA